This is an RNA transcript of Nomascus leucogenys (northern white-cheeked gibbon), 1107 nucleotides long. It is a transcript of the gene named transcription factor BTF3 pseudogene, with no coding region annotated. Lineage: Eukaryota; Metazoa; Chordata; Mammalia; Primates; Hylobatidae. The record is from RefSeq and is a predicted model, not a curated record. The transcript has a single exon.
CAGUAAAAAAAAAAAAGAUAAAAAAUGGAAUACCGGUAUAAAGUACUUAUCAUGAAUGGAUUGUAUAAGACUGGAAGUUGCUGUGGGUGAAUCAGCGAAUGAUGAGUGAAUGUGAAGGCCUAAGACAUUGCUGUAUACUACCAGAUACUUUAUAAACACUGUACACUUGUGCUAUACUAAAUUUAUUAAAAAGUAUUUUUCCUUCUUCAAUAAUAAAUUAACCUUAGCUUACUGUAACUUUUUACUUUAUAAGACUUUUAAUUUUGAGCUGCCAUCUUGCAUCCCCAUGUGUGUCCACCUAAUCUCAGCUGGUGGUCCACCCAAGACCCCCGAGCACCAACCCUAGCCCCCCACGUGGCCCCUUGUCCGCUCCGAGAAGAUGAAACAAACAAUUAUGAGCCAGGAAAAACUUGCCAAACUGCAGGCACAAGUGUGCAUUGGUGGGAAAGGAAUGGCUCACAGAAAGAAGAAGGUGGUUCAUAGAACAGCCACAGCAGAUGAUAAAAAAACUUCAGUUCUCCUUAAAGAAGUUAGAGGUAAACAAUAUCCCUGGUAUUGAAGAGGUGAAUAUGUUUACAAACCAGGGAACAGUGAUCCACUUUAACAACAGAGAUGGCAGCAAACACUUUCACCAUUACAGGCCAUGCUGAGACAAAGCAGCUGAUGGAAAUGCUACCCAGCAUCUUAAACCAGCUUGGUGCAGACUGACUAGUUUAAGGAGACUGGCUGAAGCUCUGUCCAAACAGUCUGUGAAUAGAAAAGCACCACUUGCUACUGGAGAGGAUGACGAUGAAGUUCCAGAUCUUGUGGAGAAUUUUGAUGAGGCUUCCAAGAAUGAGGCAAACUGAAUUGAGUCAACUUCUGAAGAUAAAACUUGAAGAAGUUACUGGGAGCUGCUAUUUUAUAUUAUGACUGCUUUUUAAGAAAUUUUUGUUUAUGGAUCUGAUAAAAUCUAGAUCUGUAAUAUUUUUAAGCCCAAGCUCCUUGGACACUGCAGCUCUUUUCAGUUUUUGCUUAUACACAAUUCAUUCUUUGCAGCUAAUUAAGCUGAAGAAUCCUGGGAAUCAAGUUUGAAACAAAGGUUAAUAAAGUUCUUUGCCUAGUAUA